RNAcentral lists this ribosomal RNA (818 nucleotides) under Escherichia coli. RNAcentral describes it as "bacterial SSU rRNA". It matches the Rfam family "Bacterial small subunit ribosomal RNA", at positions 624 to 1475 of the family's 1533-position model. The record is from RNAcentral. RNAcentral also lists the same sequence under 1 other name. Lineage: Bacteria; Pseudomonadati; Pseudomonadota; Gammaproteobacteria; Enterobacterales; Enterobacteriaceae.
CAUUUGAUACUGGCAAGCUUGAGUCUCGUGGGGGUAAAUUCCAGGUGAGCGGUGAAAUGCGUAGAGAUGUGGAGGAAUACCUGGCGAAGGCGGCCCCCUGGACGAGACUGACGCUCAGGUGGAAAGCGUGGGGAGCAAACAGGAUUAGAUACCCUGGUGUUCACGCCUAAACGAUGUCGACUUGGAGGUUGUGCCCUUGAGGCGUGGCUUCCGAGCUAACGCGUUAAGUCGACCGCCUGGGGAGUACGGCCGCAAGGUUAAAACUCAAAUGAAUUGACGGGGGCCCGCACAAGCGGUGGAGCAUGUGGUUUUUCGAUGCAACGCGAAGAACCUUACCUGGUCUUGACAUCCACGGAUUCAGAGAUGAGAAUGUGCCUUCGGGAACCGUGAGACAGGUGCUGCAUGGCUGUCGUCAGCUCGUGUUGUGAAAUGUUGGGUUAAGUCCCGCAACGAGCGCAACCCUUAUCCUUUUUGCCAGCGGUCCCCGGGAACUCAAAGGAGACUGCCAGUGAUAAACUGGAGGAAGGUGGGGAUGACGUCAAGUCAUCAUGGCCCUUACGACCGCUACACACGUGCUACAAUGGCGCAUACAAAGAGAAGCGACCUCGCGAGAGCAAGCGGACCUCAUAAAGGUCGUAGUCCGGAUGAGUCUGCAACUCGACUCCAUGAAGUCGGAAUCGCUAGUAAUCGUGGAUCAGAGCCACGGUGAAUACGUUCCCGGGCCUUGUAACACCGCCCGUCACACCAUGGGAGUGGGUUGCAAAAGAAGUAGGUAGCUUAACCUUCGGGAGGGCGCUUACCACUUUGUGAUUCAUGAC